This 86-nucleotide transfer RNA is filed under the name Candidatus Shapirobacteria bacterium. RNAcentral's name for it is "tRNA-Tyr". It matches the Rfam family "tRNA". Rfam says of the family: Transfer RNA (tRNA) molecules are approximately 80 nucleotides in length. Lineage: Bacteria; Candidatus Shapironibacteriota. The record is from RNAcentral.
GCCGAGAUACCGAAGUAGCCAAACGGGGCAGUCUGUAAAACUGCUGGCGCAAGCCUUCGUAGGUGCAAAUCCUACUCUCGGCACCC